GUUCAUAUAUAUGUUUUCAUGAUGAUGAUGAUGUUAUUGCUUUCGUAUAUUGUUUUAUGAAUUUCACCGAGGUAAGUAAAUGGUAAAGGUUUUAUUUUCGAUAAAAGGAUUUGUUGUAAAUUAUGCUCCAUUGGUCUUUUUGUGUUUUCUACCCACCUUUACCUCCGUGACGGUGAGAUAUCGUGAUGUCUUUACUGGGCUAGUGUAGCUCAUUCCUUAUUUAAUCAUUUCAUAUCAAGAGGACAUCGUUCCCGAGCCGCUUCCGCAGGAGGACGACGAAGGGGACGCCUAAGGACUCCAUAGUCACAUUCGUAGUUUUUACUUUCAAGUUUCUCCUUUAGGUAGUUUAAU
Molecule: long non-coding RNA, 351 nt
Filed under: Carica papaya (papaya)
Lineage: Eukaryota; Viridiplantae; Streptophyta; Magnoliopsida; Brassicales; Caricaceae
Description: long non-coding RNA (CPAP_LNC002409)
Source: RNAcentral